UUGCUUCUACAGCACAUAUAAUAAAAUUGGAACAAUACAGAGAAGAUGAGCAUGGAGCCUGUGUAAGGAUGGCACACAAAAACAGUAAUUUGAAAGGAAACCU
Talpa occidentalis (Iberian mole) is the source of this 103-nucleotide small nuclear RNA. The record is from RefSeq and is a predicted model, not a curated record. Lineage: Eukaryota; Metazoa; Chordata; Mammalia; Eulipotyphla; Talpidae.